RNAcentral lists this ribosomal RNA (432 nucleotides) under uncultured bacterium. RNAcentral's name for it is "partial 16S ribosomal RNA". It matches the Rfam family "Bacterial small subunit ribosomal RNA", at positions 338 to 795 of the family's 1533-position model. The record is from RNAcentral.
CCUACGGGUGGCAGCAGUAGGGAAUAUUGGGCAAUGGGCGAAAGCCUGACCCAGCAACGCCGCGUGUGCGAUGAAGGCCUUCGGGUCGUAAAGCACUUUUCUGAGGGAUACAGUACCUCAGGAAUAAGUCUCGGCUAACUACGUGCCAGCAGCCGCGGUAAAACGUAGGAGACUAGCGUUAUCCGGAUUUACUGGGCGUAAAGCGUGUGCAGGCGGUUCGGCAAGUUGGAUGUGAAAUCUCCCGGCUCAACUGGGAGGGGUCGUUCAAUACUACCGAACUUGAGGGCAUCAGAGGAAGGUGGAAUUCCGGGUGUAGUGGUGAAAUGCGUAGAUAUCCGGAGGAACACCAGUGGCGAAGGCGGCCUUCUGGGAUGCCCUGACGCUCAGACACGAAAGCUAGGGGAGCGAACGGGAUUAGAUACCCUUGUAGUC